RNAcentral lists this ribosomal RNA (375 nucleotides) under uncultured bacterium. RNAcentral describes it as "bacterial SSU rRNA". It matches the Rfam family "Bacterial small subunit ribosomal RNA", at positions 524 to 898 of the family's 1533-position model. The record is from RNAcentral.
UACGGAGGGUGCUAUCGUUAUUCGGAUUUACUUGGCGUAAAGCGCACGCAGGCGGUCUGUCAAGUCGGAUGUGAAAUCCCCGGGCUCAACCUGGGAACUGCAUCCGAAACUGGCAGGCUAGAGUCUUGUAGAGGGGGGUAGAAUUCCAGGUGUAGCGGUGAAAUGCGUAGAGAUCUGGAGGAAUACCGGUGGCGAAGGCGGCCCCCUGGACAAAGACUGACGCUCAGGUGCGAAAGCGUGGGGAGCAAACAGGAUUAGAUACCCUGGUAGUCCACGCCGUAAACGAUGUCGACUUGGAGGUUGUGCCCUUGAGGCGUGGCUUCCGGAGCUAACGCGUUAAGUCGACCGCCUGGGGAGUACGGCCGCAAGGUUAAA